CCUACGGGAGGCAGCAGUGAGGAAUAUUGGUCAAUGGGCGCAAGCCUGACCCAGCAACGCCGCGUGAAGGAUGACGGCCCUCUGGUUUUUAAACUCCUUUUACAGGGGAGCACAGGCCACUGUACCUGUGGAAUAAGCCUCGGCUAACUACGUGCCAGCGGCCGCUGCAAUACGUAGGGCGCAGGCGUUCUGCGGAUUUACUGGGUGUAAAGGGCGUUUAGGCGGGAUGAAAAGUGAGCUGGGAAAUCCGGGGGCUCAAACCCCGAACUGCAGUUGAAACUGGGGGUCUUGAGUAUGGGAGAGGCAGGCGGAAUGCGUGGUGUAGCGGUGAAAUGCGUAGAUAUGAGGAAGAACACCAGUGGCGAAGGCAGCAUGCUGGAGGACAACUGACGGUGAGGCGCGAAAGCGUGGGGAGCGAACAGGAUUAGAUACCCGGGUAGUC
Molecule: ribosomal RNA, 442 nt
Filed under: uncultured bacterium
Lineage: Bacteria
Description: partial 16S ribosomal RNA
Rfam family: Bacterial small subunit ribosomal RNA
Source: RNAcentral